CUACGGGACGCACCAGUGGGGAAUAUUGGACAAUGGGGGAAACCCUGAUCCAGCAAUGCCGCGUGUGUGAAGAAGGCCUGCGGGUUGUAAAGCACUUUCGGUUGGGAGGACUGCUUCUAGCACUAAUAUUGUUGGAAGUUGACGUUACCUUCAGAAGAAGCACCGGCUAACUCCGUGCCAGCAGCCGCGGUAAUACGGAGGGUGCAAGCGUUAAUCGGAAUUACUGGGCGUAAAGCGCGCGUAGGCGGCUAGAUCAGUCGGGUAUGAAAGCCCCGGGCUUAACCUGGGAACUGCAUCCGAUACUGUCUAGCUUGAGUACAGGAGAGGAGAGUGGAAUUCCACAUGUAGCGGUGAAAUGCGUAGAUAUGUGGAGGAACACCAAUGGCGAAGGCAGCUCUCUGGCCUGAUACUGACGCUGAGGUGCGAAAGCGUGGGAAGCAAACAGGAUUAGAUACCCGCGUAGUC
This 465-nucleotide ribosomal RNA is filed under the name uncultured bacterium. Its description in RNAcentral is "partial 16S ribosomal RNA". It matches the Rfam family "Bacterial small subunit ribosomal RNA", at positions 339 to 795 of the family's 1533-position model. The record is from RNAcentral.